ACAUGCAAGUCGAGCGGGCGAGGUUGCUUCGGUAACUGAGCUAGCGGCGGACGGGUGAGUAAAGCUUAGGAAUCUGCCUAUUAGUGGGGGACAACAUUCCGAAAGGGAUGCUAAUACCGCAUACGUCCUACGGGAGAAAGCAGGGGAUCACUUGUGACCUUGCGCUAAUAGAUGAGCCUAAGUCGGAUUAGCUAGUUGGUGGGGUAAAGGCCUACCAAGGCGACGAUCUGUAGCGGGUCUGAGAGGAUGAUCCGCCACACUGGGACUGAGACACGGCCCAGACUCCUACGGGAGGCAGCAGUGGGGAAUAUUGGACAAUGGGGGGAACCCUGAUCCAGCCAUGCCGCGUGUGUGAAGAAGGCCUUUUGGUUGUAAAGCACUUUAAGCGAGGAGGAGGCUUACCUGGUUAAUACCUGGGAUAAGUGGACGUUACUCGCAGAAUAAGCACCGGCUAACUCUGUGCCAGCAGCCGCGGUAAUACAGAGGGUGCGAGCGUUAAUCGGAUUUACUGGGCGUAAAGCGCGCGUAGGUGGUUAAUUAAGUCAAAUGUGAAAUCCCCGAGCUUAACUUGGGAAUUGCAUUCGAUACUGGUUAGCUAGAGUAUGGGAGAGGAUGGUAGAAUUCCAGGUGUAGCGGUGAAAUGCGUAGAGAUCUGGAGGAAUACCGAUGGCGAAGGCAGCCAUCUGGCCUAAUACUGACACUGAGGUGCGAAAGCAUGGGGAGCAAACAGGAUUAGAUACCCUGGUAGUCCAUGCCGUAAACGAUGUCUACUAGCCGUUGGGGGAUUUGAUCCUUUAGUGGCGCAGCUAACGCGAUAAGUAGACCGCCUGGGGAGUACGGUCGCAAGACUAAAACUCAAAUGAAUUGACGGGGGCCCGCACAAGCGGUGGAGCAUGUGGUUUAAUUCGAUGCAACGCGAAGAACCUUACCUGGCCUUGACAUAGUAGAGACUUUCCAGAGAUGGAUUGGUGGCUUCGG
Molecule: ribosomal RNA, 978 nt
Filed under: Acinetobacter sp. NF126
Lineage: Bacteria; Pseudomonadati; Pseudomonadota; Gammaproteobacteria; Moraxellales; Moraxellaceae
Description: bacterial SSU rRNA
Rfam family: Bacterial small subunit ribosomal RNA
Source: RNAcentral